This 554-nucleotide unclassified non-coding RNA is filed under the name Hevea brasiliensis (rubber tree). The record is from RNAcentral. Lineage: Eukaryota; Viridiplantae; Streptophyta; Magnoliopsida; Malpighiales; Euphorbiaceae.
GAUUUUUGGGAUGGAAUCUUCUCCAUUUUUCAGUUUGAGAUGAGUAAAUCUCCAUUUCAAGACCAUCAAAAGCCACUUCUAUAUCAGACAAAUGUACAAGGACAACUUGAUAGUGAAGCCCAUCAAUGGCUAAGCCACACCUGAUAAUGCCCCUCGUAAUGGCAGGGUGGGGCAGAGGAAAAAACUGCCCGGGCAUGGGGUUUGGUAUUUGAGCUCAAGCUCUCCAAUACUAGCUAACAGAAGAAAGCCCUUGCAUGAAGAAAUAACUUGUACAUAAUUUUCCGUGCAGAAACUGAGGGAACGAUCGAUGUCGACAGCUCCACUUUUAUCACCAAUAUGCAGAAAAAUAAACUGGGAUGAUCCAUCUUCAAACUGGUAUUGACAAAGAAGACCAUUUCUGGCAGUGUUGGACUCACCUGCAGCCAUCCUGAUCCUCCUGGAACUGUUUUGAUCCAUCCUUUCUCUCUUUUGGGUACAGAGGAACCUUCUUAAAACCUCGCUCAGGAUAAUGAUCAGAUUCCUGUGAAAUGGUUUCUCGAUAAAAAGAAAAGGAG